RNAcentral lists this ribosomal RNA (721 nucleotides) under Escherichia coli. RNAcentral describes it as "partial 23S ribosomal RNA". It matches the Rfam family "Bacterial large subunit ribosomal RNA", at positions 1 to 765 of the family's 2925-position model. The record is from RNAcentral. Lineage: Bacteria; Pseudomonadati; Pseudomonadota; Gammaproteobacteria; Enterobacterales; Enterobacteriaceae.
GGUUAAGCGACUAAGCGUACACGGUGGAUGCCUUGGCAGUCAGAGGCGAUGAAGGACGUGCUAAUCUGCGAUAAGCGUCGGUAAGGUGAUAUGAACCGUUAUAACCGGCGAUUUCCGAAUGGGGAAACCCAGUGUGUUUCGACACACUAUCAUUAACUGAAUCCAUAGGUUAAUGAGGCGAACCGGGGGAACUGAAACAUCUAAGUACCCCGAGGAAAAGAAAUCAACCGAGAUUCCCCCAGUAGCGGCGAGCGAACGGGGAGCAGCCCAGAGCCUGAAUCAGUGUGUGUGUUAGUGGAAGCGUCUGGAAAGGCGCGCGAUACAGGGUGACAGCCCCGUACACAAAAAUGCACAUACUGUGAGCUCGAUGAGUAGGGCGGGACACGUGGUAUCCUGUCUGAAUAUGGGGGGACCAUCCUCCAAGGCUAAAUACUCCUGACUGACCGAUAGUGAACCAGUACCGUGAGGGAAAGGCGAAAAGAACCCCGGCGAGGGGAGUGAAAAAGAACCUGAAACCGUGUACGUACAAGCAGUGGGAGCCUCUUUAUGGGGUGACUGCGUACCUUUUGUAUAAUGGGUCAGCGACUUAUAUUCUGUAGCAAGGUUAACCGAAUAGGGGAGCCGAAGGGAAACCGAGUCUUAACUGGGCGUUAAGUUGCAGGGUAUAGACCCGAAACCCGGUGAUCUAGCCAUGGGCAGGUUGAAGGUUGGGUAACACUAA